AUGCUUUUAGACCAAUCUCUACAAAACUGCACCCCAAAAGCAGUGUCCAAGGUUCUCACAAACAGAGUAAAACCCCUUAUUCCACUUCUCAUUCACUACGGCCAAAUAGGGUUCCUCCACGGUCGCAACAUUACCGAAAACUUUAUUUAUGCAGCAGACAUCCUCAGCGCUUGCCACACAAGAAAACCCCCCACCAUGGUCAUCAAGCUUGAUUUCAGAAAAGCUUUCGACUCCAUUUGUUGGUCCUCUCUCAUAUCUAUCUUACAAGCAAGGGGUUUCCCUCCAAUCUUCUGUGCAUGGGUACAAAACAUUCUUCAGACUGGCAAAACGGCUAUUCUCCUAAAUAGAAAUCCGGGGUCCUGGAUCCAAUGUAGAAGUGGCCUUCGACAAGGUGAUCCCUUCUCGUCGUACUUGUUCAUCAUUGUAGCAGAUGUCCUCCAAAGAUUGAUCGCACAGGCGUUCCGACAGAACGAAUUAUGUCACCCCCUCCGCCCGAAUGAACCACCAGCAUGA
This 513-nucleotide ribosomal RNA is filed under the name Triticum aestivum (bread wheat). Its description in RNAcentral is "partial small subunit ribosomal RNA". Lineage: Eukaryota; Viridiplantae; Streptophyta; Magnoliopsida; Poales; Poaceae. The record is from RNAcentral.